RNAcentral lists this long non-coding RNA (355 nucleotides) under Chinchilla lanigera (long-tailed chinchilla). Its description in RNAcentral is "lncRNA (ENSCLAG00000028528.1)". The record is from RNAcentral. Lineage: Eukaryota; Metazoa; Chordata; Mammalia; Rodentia; Chinchillidae.
UAGUGGCAAUUAUGGCUGCUGAUUUGAAAGGAAGCUGAACAUACUGGCUUUCAUCAGGUCAGCUUUGCUUGGCCACAUGCAACUUUCCACUUAGGAAAAUGAGGGCUAAAUUCUUGGUCCAGGCAGGCUCUUUCAAGGUGUUGUGUUUCUGUUCUCAAUGAAACAAGACAACUCCGUGAAGCCGGGGGCUGUCCGCACUAUCACUGAACUUGGUACCAUGAGAAAGCAUUGCCAACCUCUCCGUUGAAUCUUCAGUCCCAGAGUAGAUGCAGUGGAAUGAAGCCAUAUGGGAGGAUUUUGUUCUAAUGUCAACAUGGAAGGUGAGAAUCUAUUAUAUUUUAAAUUCUGCCCUUAA